AUGCAGGGCAGGGAUUUCUCUAAGCUGCCCCUGGGAAAAGGCUGGGACCCACUCAACAAGGUUAUAGAAGGAGACCAAGGCUCUUUUUUUAAAAAUGUGUUUAUUUAUUUUACAGGCAGAGUUUUGGAUAAAGAGAGAGGUCUUCCCUCUGCUGGUUCACUCCCCAAAUGGCUGCAACAGCCAGAGUUGAACUACUUCGAAGCCAGGAGUUCCUUCCAGGUCUCCCACGUGGGUGCAGGGUCCCAAGGACUUGGGCCAUCCUCCACUGCUUUCCCAGGUCAUAGCAGAGAGCUGGAUCAGAAGAGGAGCAGUCGGGACACAACCGGUGCCCAAAUGGGAUGCGGCGCUGCAGGUGAAGGCUCAGCUGCUGCGCCACAGCACUGGCCCCACCUGAAACUAAGACUUUUGAGAUGUAAAUACUGCUCUGCUUCCCAGGCUUGCUUCUGUGGUUCUUCCCUCACCCAGCCACACAAAUUCCCAUUUCUUCCCUCUCACAGAUGCAGGCUGCCUAACAGACCUGUCAGGGCAGGGGGCCAAUGCAGCAGGUGCCUGCCUGUAGGGCCUCAAGAGUGUUGGCCACAAGGGCGGCCAAGGGGAUGGGACCAGUCACCUUUCAGCUGGGAAUCCAGAAACUCUGCUUCCUGGGACCAAAGUGACCUGUCUGCAAGGCCUGGGGGAAGGCGCUGGGAAGGGAGGUGUGUCACCCCCCCCCAGACCUCCCAGGCAGGUCCUGUGACUAAGAGUCAGCCCUGUUGGGUCAAACCCCCCCCUUUCAGGUCAAGUUUGUGGGAGCAGCUUGGGAAGCCCAGCGAUGAGGGUGGGCUGGUUGGAUGGGGGUUAGGCAGAUGCACAGGUGGCCAGGCCACAGGAGUAACGGGAUCCUGCCCAGCGAAGCCAGCCAGGCUCCCGUGCCAGGAGCAGCCUUGGAGAGGCUGGUCCAUGAUCCCUGCCGCUGUGAGCCUUGGGAAAGUGUCCCUGGGCCUGCUGGCCCCUCUGCCCCAACACAGGGUCGGGAGUCCCGCCAGUGAGGGGCGUGCUGGGCAGAGGCUUCGGCCUGCGGCAGGUGCCAGCCAAGCGUGA
This 1080-nucleotide long non-coding RNA is filed under the name Oryctolagus cuniculus (rabbit). RNAcentral describes it as "lncRNA (ENSOCUG00000030391.1)". Lineage: Eukaryota; Metazoa; Chordata; Mammalia; Lagomorpha; Leporidae. The record is from RNAcentral.